GAUGAACGCUGGCGGCGUGCCUAAUACAUGCAAGUCGAGCGAACGGACGAGAAGCUUGCUUCUCUGAUGUUAGCGGCGGACGGGUGAGUAACACGUGGAUAACCUACCUAUAAGACUGGGAUAACUUCGGGAAACCGGAGCUAAUACCGUAUAAUAUUUUGAACCGCAUGGUUCAAAAGUGAAAGACGGUCUUGCUGUCACUUAUAGAUGGAUCCGCGCUGCAUUAGCUAGUUGGUAAGGUAACGGCUUACCAAGGCAACGAUGCAUAGCCGACCUGAGAGGGUGAUCGGCCACACUGGAACUGAGACACGGUCCAGACUCCUACGGGAGGCAGCAGUAGGGAAUCUUACGCAAUGGGCGAAAGCCUGACGGAGCAACGCCGCGUGAGUGAUGAAGGUCUUCGGAUCGUAAAACUCUGUUAUUAGGGAAGAACAUAUGUGUAAGUAACUGUGCACAUCUUGACGGUACCUAAUCAGAAAGCCACGGCUAACUACGUG
RNAcentral lists this ribosomal RNA (497 nucleotides) under uncultured bacterium. RNAcentral's name for it is "partial 16S ribosomal RNA". It matches the Rfam family "Bacterial small subunit ribosomal RNA", at positions 28 to 507 of the family's 1533-position model. The record is from RNAcentral.